This 436-nucleotide ribosomal RNA is filed under the name Streptococcus sanguinis. RNAcentral describes it as "bacterial SSU rRNA". It matches the Rfam family "Bacterial small subunit ribosomal RNA", at positions 28 to 454 of the family's 1533-position model. The record is from RNAcentral. Lineage: Bacteria; Bacillati; Bacillota; Bacilli; Lactobacillales; Streptococcaceae.
GACGAACGCUGGCGGCGUGCCUAAUACAUGCAAGUAGAACGCUGAAGAGAGGAGCUUGCUCUUCUUGGAUGAGUUGCGAACGGGUGAGUAACGCGUAGGUAACCUGCCUGGUAGCGGGGGAUAACUAUUGGAAACGAUAGCUAAUACCGCAUGAUAUUAAUUGUCGCAUGAUAAUUAAUUGAAAGAUGCAAUUGCAUCACUACCAGAUGGACCUGCGUUGUAUUAGCUAGUUGGUGAGGUAACGGCUCACCAAGGCGACGAUACAUAGCCGACCUGAGAGGGUGAUCGGCCACACUGGGACUGAGACACGGCCCAGACUCCUACGGGAGGCAGCAGUAGGGAAUCUUCGGCAAUGGGGGGAACCCUGACCGAGCAACGCCGCGUGAGUGAAGAAGGUUUUCGGAUCGUAAAGCUCUGUUGUAAGAGAAGAACGGGU